RNAcentral lists this ribosomal RNA (520 nucleotides) under Hansenula anomala. Its description in RNAcentral is "Wickerhamomyces anomalus partial 26S ribosomal RNA". It matches the Rfam family "Eukaryotic large subunit ribosomal RNA", at positions 89 to 613 of the family's 3401-position model. Lineage: Eukaryota; Fungi; Ascomycota; Saccharomycetes; Phaffomycetales; Wickerhamomycetaceae. The record is from RNAcentral.
GCGAGUGAGCGGCAAAGCUCAAAUUUGAAAUCUAGCACCUUCGGUGUUCGAGUUGUAAUUUGAAGAUGGUAACCUUGGGUUUGGCUCUUGUCUAUGUUCCUUGGAACAGGACGUCAUAGAGGGUGAGAAUCCCGUCUGAUGAGAUGCCCAUUCCUAUGUAAGGUGCUAUCGAAGAGUCGAGUUGUUUGGGAAUGCAGCUCUAAGUGGGUGGUAAAUUCCAUCUAAAGCUAAAUAUUGGCGAGAGACCGAUAGCGAACAAGUACAGUGAUGGAAAGAUGAAAAGAACUUUGAAAAGAGAGUGAAAAAGUACGUGAAAUUGUUGAAAGGGAAGGGCAUUAGAUCAGACUUGGUGUUUUACGAUUAUCUUCUCUUCUUGAGUUGUGCACUCGUAUUUCACUGGGCCAGCAUCGAUUCGGAUGGCAAGAUAAUGGCAGUUGAAUGUGGCUUCACUUCGGUGGAGUGUUAUAGCUUCUGCUGAUAUUGCCUGUCUGGAUCGAGGGCUGCGUCUUUUGACUAGGAU